GACGUAGGGGGCCAGCGUUGUUCGGAAUUACUGGGUGUAAAGGGUUCGUAGGCGGUGUGGCAAGUCGGGAGUGAAAUCUCUGGGCUCAACUCAGAGACUGCUUCCGAAACUGCUGUGCUGGAGUGUGGGAGAGGCGCGUGGAAUUGCAGGUGUAGCGGUGAAAUGCGUAGAUAUCGUAAGGAAGACCAGUGGCGAAGGCGGGUCUCUGGACAGUUCCUGACGCUGAGGCACGAAGGUCAGGGGAGCAAACGGG
This 253-nucleotide ribosomal RNA is filed under the name uncultured bacterium. Its description in RNAcentral is "partial 16S ribosomal RNA". It matches the Rfam family "Bacterial small subunit ribosomal RNA", at positions 524 to 776 of the family's 1533-position model. The record is from RNAcentral.